UGGUCAGUCAAUGUCCCAGCUCGGAGAGCCGUAAUACUGCUUGUUUGUUUGGAGAGCCAUGCGGCUGUUGCUUUGUUUGGUGGCCGUGAAGCUGCUUGUUUGUUUGGAGAGUCGUAAGGUUGCUGGUAGGUUUGGAGAGCCAUGAUGCUGCUGGUUUGUUUGGUGGUCAUGAGGUUGCUGGUAGGUUUGGUGGCCGUGAGGCUGCUGGUUUGUUUGGUGGCCGUGAGGCUGCUGGUUUGUUUGGUGGCCGUGAGGCUGCUGGUUUGUUUGGUGGCCGUGAGGUUGCUGGUUUGUUUGGUGGCCGUGAGGCAGCUGUUUUAUUUGGUGGCCGUGCUGAUGUUGGUUUGUUUGGAGAGCCUUGAGGCUGCUUAUCUGUUUGGUGGCCG
RNAcentral lists this long non-coding RNA (386 nucleotides) under Salmo salar (Atlantic salmon). RNAcentral's name for it is "lncRNA (ENSSSAG00000091135.1)". Lineage: Eukaryota; Metazoa; Chordata; Actinopteri; Salmoniformes; Salmonidae. The record is from RNAcentral.